This 409-nucleotide ribosomal RNA is filed under the name Vibrio sp. P1-10. RNAcentral's name for it is "bacterial SSU rRNA". It matches the Rfam family "Bacterial small subunit ribosomal RNA", at positions 56 to 452 of the family's 1533-position model. The record is from RNAcentral. Lineage: Bacteria; Pseudomonadati; Pseudomonadota; Gammaproteobacteria; Vibrionales; Vibrionaceae.
UGCAAGUCGAGCGGAACGAGUUAUCUGAACCUUCGGGGAACGAUAACGGCGUCGAGCGGCGGACGGGUGAGUAAUGCCUGGGAAAUUGCCCUGAUGUGGGGGAUAACUAUUGGAAACGAUAGCUAAUACCGCAUAAUGUCUACGGACCAAAGAGGGGGACCUUCGGGCCUCUCGCUUCAGGAUAUGCCCAGGUGGGAUUAGCUAGUUGGUGAGGUAAUGGCUCACCAAGGCGACGAUCCCUAGCUGGUCUGAGAGGAUGAUCAGCCACACUGGAACUGAGACACGGUCCAGACUCCUACGGGAGGCAGCAGUGGGGAAUAUUGCACAAUGGGCGCAAGCCUGAUGCAGCCAUGCCGCGUGUAUGAAGAAGGCCUUCGGGUUGUAAAGUACUUUCAGUCGUGAGGAAGGC